Molecule: ribosomal RNA, 237 nt
Filed under: uncultured bacterium
Lineage: Bacteria
Description: partial 16S ribosomal RNA
Rfam family: Bacterial small subunit ribosomal RNA
Source: RNAcentral
CGGACGGGUGCGUAACACGUGAGCAACCUACCCUUCGGCGGGGGAUAGCCGGCCCAGCGGCCGGGUAAUACCGCGUAUCGCCCUGGUGUCGCAUGGCACUUGGGUAAAAGGAGCAAUCCACCGGGGGAGGGGCUCGCGGCCUAUCAGCUUGUUGGUGAGGUAACGGCUCACCAAGGCGACGACGGGUAGCUGGUCUGAGAGGACGAUCAGCCACAUUGGGACUGAGAUACGGCCCAG